AUUGAACGCUGGCGGCAUGCCUCACACAUGCAAGUAGAACGGUAACGCGGGGCAACCUGGCGACGAGUGGCGAACGGGUGAGUAAUGUAUCGGAACGUGCCCAGUUGUGGGGGAUAACUGCUCGAAAGAGCAGCUAAUACAGCAUACGACCUGAGGGUGAAAGCGGGGGAUCGCAAGACCUCGCGCAAUUGGAGCGGCCGAUAGCAGAUUAGGUAGUUGGGGGGGUAAAGGCUCACCAAGCCAACGAUCUGUAGCUGGCCUGAGAGGACGACCAGCCACUGUGGGGGUGAGACACGGCCCAGACUCCUACGGGAGGCAGCAGUGGGGAAUUAUGGACAUUGGAGUCAAGUCUGAUCCAGCCAGGCCGCGUGCGGGAAAAGGGCCUUCGGGUUGUAAACCGCUUUUGUCAGGGAAGAAACGCUCUGGGUUAAUACCUCGGGGUAAUGACGGUACCUGAAGAAUAAGCACCGGCUAACUACGUGCCAGCAGCCGCCGUAA
Molecule: ribosomal RNA, 498 nt
Filed under: uncultured bacterium
Lineage: Bacteria
Description: partial 16S ribosomal RNA
Rfam family: Bacterial small subunit ribosomal RNA
Source: RNAcentral